GGUGGCUCAGCGGUAGAGCGCUUGCCUAGCAUGCUUGAGGCCCUGGGUUCGAUUCCUCAGCACCA
Molecule: transfer RNA, 65 nt
Filed under: Dipodomys ordii (Ord's kangaroo rat)
Lineage: Eukaryota; Metazoa; Chordata; Mammalia; Rodentia; Heteromyidae
Rfam family: tRNA
About the family: Transfer RNA (tRNA) molecules are approximately 80 nucleotides in length.
Source: Rfam by way of RNAcentral